RNAcentral lists this ribosomal RNA (494 nucleotides) under uncultured bacterium. Its description in RNAcentral is "partial 16S ribosomal RNA". It matches the Rfam family "Bacterial small subunit ribosomal RNA", at positions 28 to 507 of the family's 1533-position model. The record is from RNAcentral.
GACGAACGCUGGCGGCGCGCUUAACACAUGCAAGUCGAACGGAAAGGCCUGCUUUCCCUUGUGGAUUGCGGGUACUCGAGUGGCGAACGGGUGAGUAACACGUGAGUGAUCUGCCCUCAACUUGGGUAUAAGCCUGGGAAACUGGGUCUAAUUCUCGAUAGGACUGCAGGGUGGUGCCUGUGGUGGAAAACGAUUUUCUAGUGGUUGGGGAUGAGCUCGCGGCUUAUCAGCUUGUUGGUGGGGUAAUGGCCUACCAAGGCGGCGACGGGUAGCCGGCCUGGGAGGGUGGACGGCCACAUUGGGACUGGGAUACGGCCCAGACGCCUACGGGAGGCAGCAGUGGGGAAGAUUGCACAAUGAGCGGAAGCCUGAUGCAGCGACGCCGCGUGGGGGAUGACGGCCUUCGGGUUGUAAGCUCCUUGCGACCGCGAGGAAGCCACCUGGUUGGAAGGGUGGUGACGGUAGUGGUAGAAGAAGCACCGGCUAACUACGUG